UCUCCGUUGGUGAACCAGCGGAGGGAUCAUUACCGAGUUUACGACUCCCAAACCCCUGCGAACAUACCAUUUGUUGCCUCGGCGGUGCCUGCUUCGGCAGCCCGCCAGAGGACCCAAACCCUUGAUUUUAUACAGUAUCUUCUGAGUAAAUGAUUAAAUAAAUCAAAACUUUCAACAACGGAUCUCUUGGUUCUG
Molecule: unclassified non-coding RNA, 195 nt
Filed under: plant metagenome
Description: partial contains small subunit ribosomal RNA, internal transcribed spacer 1, and 5.8S ribosomal RNA
Source: RNAcentral